GGGCCCGCACAAGCGGUGGAGCAUGUGGUUUAAUUCGAUGCAACGCGAAGAACCUUACCUACUCUUGACAUCCUUGGAAUCCUCUGGAGACAGAGGAGUGCCUUCGGGAACCAAGUGACAGGUGCUGCAUGGCUGUCGUCAGCUCGUGUCGUGAGAUGUUGGGUUAAGUCCCGUAACGAGCGCAACCCUCGUCCUUAGUUGCCAGCACGUCAUGGUGGGAACUCUAAGGAGACUGCCGGUGAUAAACCGGAGGAAGGUGGGGAUGAUGUCAAGUCAUCAUGGCCCUUACGAGUAGGGCUACACACGUGCUACAAUGGGCAGUACAAAGGGUUGCCAAGCCGCGAGGUGGAGCUAAUCCCAUAAAGCUGUUCGUAGUCCGGAUUGGAGUCUGCAACUCGCCUGCAUGAAGGUGGAAUCGCUAGUAA
This 425-nucleotide ribosomal RNA is filed under the name uncultured bacterium. RNAcentral describes it as "bacterial SSU rRNA". It matches the Rfam family "Bacterial small subunit ribosomal RNA", at positions 917 to 1341 of the family's 1533-position model. The record is from RNAcentral.